AGCAGCCGCGGUAAUUCCAGCGUCCGAAUAGCGUAUAUUAAAGUUGUUGCAGUUAAAAAGCUCGUAGUUGAAUUUCGGGAUCAAGGGAUCGGUCAUGCCUUGGUAUGUACUGGUCUUAUUGGUUCUCACCUUCUAAAGAACCAUGAUGUCAUUUAUUUGAUGUUAUGGGGAAUUAGGACUGUUACCUUGAAAAAAUUAGAGUGUUUAAAGCAAGCUUACGCUUGAAUACAUUAGCAUGGAAUAAUGAAAUAGGACAUCAGAUUCUAUUUUGUUGGUUUCUAGGAUCGAUGUAAUGAUUAAUAGGGAUAGUUGGGGGCAUUAGUAUUCAAUUGUCAGAGGUGAAAUUCUUGGAUUUAUUGAAGACUAACUACUGCGAAAGCAUUUGCCAAGGAUGUUUUUCAUUAAUCAAGGACGAAAGUUAGGGGAUCGAAGACGAUCAGAUACCGUCGUAGUCUUAACCAUAAACUAUGCCGACUAGGGAUC
Molecule: ribosomal RNA, 483 nt
Filed under: uncultured Glomus
Lineage: Eukaryota; Fungi; Glomeromycota; Glomeromycetes; Glomerales; Glomeraceae
Description: SSU rRNA
Rfam family: Eukaryotic small subunit ribosomal RNA
Source: RNAcentral